GCAGAGGCAGCAUCCAGGAUCCGAUGGGACAGAGGACAGAUGCUGUAAAAAAGUGCAAAGCAGAGUUCAGGGCACUCCCACUGCUGAAACUCGAGGAGGGUACAGGGCACUCUUCAAUCACACUGCUUAGCUGCCAGCCUUGGGGAAAUGGCAGGAGAAGGCUCUCAGCUCCUCAGGCAGAGGCUGCCCAGCCCUGGGAGCUGCAGAAGGGGAGGGCUGGGGGUUCUCAGACACUCUGCCCUGGCUGAGCCUCUCCCACAGCAUCACCUCCAGCACCACCUCCAGCACUGUCCCCAUCCCCCUGAGGUGGCACUGGGCCUUCCAGGAGCAGGGGGGGUUCAGAAAGCUGAGGCUGAAGGCCCUGAGAUGGAGUGCAGAGGGAGCUGUGCCUCCCCCAGCAAUGGGCAGGUGCUCUGGAAGAGCAGAGUGGGGUAAGGGAUGCACUGAGGUGCUCUGUGCAGCACCUGCAGGGACACUGAGCCUGGGCAGGGACAUUCUGCAUCUAACACCAGUGUCUGGGCAGGGACAUUCUGCAUCUAACACCAGUGUCUGGGCAGGAACAUUCUCUGCAUUUAGCACCAGUGCCUGGGCAGGAACAUUCCCUGUAUUUAACACCAGUGUCUGGGCAGGAACAUUCCCUGCAUUUAACACCAGUGUCUGGGCAGGAACAUUCCCUGUAUUUAACACCAGUGUCUGGGCAGGAACAUUCCCUGUAUUUAACACCAGUGUCUGGGCAGGAACAGGGUGUGCUGCUCUCAGAAGUACAGACUCACUCCAGAGUUGGUGUGCCACUCAGGUAACACUGCCUCAGCUGGGACAUGUGGUGCUCAGUUUAACUAAGCUUCAGGAAGGGUAGAGAUAAAGAGAGGCACUCGGUCACCAGCCUGUGUAUUUCCUGCUUCAGCACCAUGGCUCUUUCUCCUUUCUAGGAAAAACAUGCAAUUCCCUCUCUGAAGCAUGAAAAGGCUGAACAAACCCCACAUGGAGCCACAAGAAAUACACUGCCUUUGCAAGGCAUUUUUGAGAGGUGAAAAAAAAAAAAAAAAAAAAAAAAAAAAAAAAAAAAAAAAAAAAAAGAAUAAUUUCAGAUUCACUAAAAUACUGUGGUUAGUCUGUUUUCAGACUCUCUUGCCCCACAAGGCAGCCUGCAGGGCAGUCAGCCAGCCAAGGUAUUUAGGCAAGAUAUACCAGAAAACAGGAUUUUUCUUCUCACAUAAUUGAUCAAUGGAAACAAAUUCAUGUUAUUACCAA
Molecule: long non-coding RNA, 1251 nt
Filed under: Ficedula albicollis (Collared flycatcher)
Lineage: Eukaryota; Metazoa; Chordata; Aves; Passeriformes; Muscicapidae
Description: lncRNA (ENSFALG00000028109.1)
Source: RNAcentral